CCUACGGGUGGCAGCAGUGAGGAAUAUUGGUCAAUGGCCGAGAGGCUGAACCAGCCAAGUCGCGUGAGGGAAGACGGCCCUACGGGUUGUAAACCUCUUUUGUCGGGGAGCAAAGAGAGUCACGUGUGACUCAUUGAGAGUACCCGAAGAAAAAGCAUCGGCUAACUCCGUGCCCGCAGCCGCGGUAAUACGGAGGAUGCGAGCGGUAUACGGAUUUAUUGGGUUUAAAGGGUGAGCAGGCGGAAGUGCAAGUCAGGGGUCAAAUUGCGGGGCUCAACCCCGUACAGACGGUGAACAUGCAUCCCUUGAGUGCGCGAGAAGUAUGCGGAAUGCGUGGUGUAGCGGUGAAAUGCAUAGAUAUCACGCAGAACUCCGAUUGCGAAGGCAGCAUACCGGCGCGCAACUGACGCUCAUGCACGAAAGCGUGGGUAUCGAACAGGAUUAGAUACCCCUGUAGUC
Molecule: ribosomal RNA, 459 nt
Filed under: uncultured bacterium
Lineage: Bacteria
Description: partial 16S ribosomal RNA
Rfam family: Bacterial small subunit ribosomal RNA
Source: RNAcentral